UGGUCCAGCUGAACCAACCGACCUCUAUUUCCACCAUCGAUCCCGAGAAUUACCUAGGCAUCUGUUCGUGUGUUUUCUUCCCCGAGAACUACGUAGCCUGCGGCGGCGGGGGGUUUUGAUCGGCGGCGAAGAUCGCGGCCGUGGGGGCAGCCGGAGCGGGCGGAUAAUCAGAGGAGGCCAAGGACGUCGGCAAUUUACUCACUGUGAGCCGCGCCGAUGGCGCCUAUACAGCGGCAGGAGAAGGGGGCCGCCCUGGUGUAUGAGUAGAUGCUAUUGAAGAAAUGAGAGUGAGAGGUGAGAAGGAGAGGCAAGGAAAUGAGAACAGUAUGGGCCAGCAAAAGAAUGUCAAAAGAGGAAAUUCCAUUCAUUCCAUGAGAGAUUUUAAAAUGCCAAGAAGGACAAGCAUGUUUGAUAUAUUCAGGGACUGAUAUAUCAUUGCAUAUGAAGUGUUGAGAGAUGUAUUUAGUAAACCUACUGGACUAUGCUAUGUAGGUUUUAUAUUUUGGUUCAUGAACAUCUUUAGUAGAGGGUAUGGUCAUUAAGAUUGAGUGUCAUGUCUGUGAGGAUCAUGUGAUGUUCAUGAUCAAGUUAGUGCCUCUAUAAUGAACUUGUUGAUCUGCUUAAUAAAAAACCUUUGAACUCUCC
This is a long non-coding RNA of Triticum aestivum (bread wheat), 645 nucleotides long. RefSeq lists it as uncharacterized. Lineage: Eukaryota; Viridiplantae; Streptophyta; Magnoliopsida; Poales; Poaceae. The transcript has 2 exons. The record is from RefSeq and is a predicted model, not a curated record.